UGGACAUGGCAUAGUGGUUUAAGUGUUGGACUACAACUCUGGAGACCAGGGUUCGAUUCCCUGCUCAG
Molecule: non-coding RNA, 68 nt
Organism: Phrynosoma platyrhinos (Desert horned lizard)
Lineage: Eukaryota; Metazoa; Chordata; Lepidosauria; Squamata; Phrynosomatidae
Source: the annotation of a GenBank genome assembly